This is a long non-coding RNA of Clupea harengus (Atlantic herring), 492 nucleotides long. NCBI's taxonomy places the organism in Eukaryota, Metazoa, Chordata, Actinopteri, Clupeiformes, Clupeidae. The record is from Ensembl.
UGCAACUCAUGUUUGGUUAUUUCUGUACACACAGAUUCUGAAUGCAGAAGAAAAAGUAGAUACAUUAUCAGUACAUGUGCUGCUGUGUGAGCUGAGUGUCUGAGGGGAGUAUUGAGUGUGUGAGGUGAGUAUUGAGUGUGUGAGGUGAGUAUUGAGUGUGUGAAGGGAGUAUUGAGUGUGUGAGGUGAGUAUUGAGUGUGUGAGGGGAGUAUUGAGUGUGUGAGGUGAGCAUUGAGUGUGUGAGGUGAGUAUUGAGUGUGUGAGGUGAGCAUUGAGUCUGUGAGGGGAGCAUUGAGUGUGUGAGCUGAUUGUCUAAGGGGAGUAUUGUGAUGAGUGUGUCGGCUGACUGUGUGAGGUGGGUAUUGAGUUUUACAAAUGAAGGUGCUUUUAAAUGCAGCAUAUCUUGUGGUGUGCAGUUCCUCUCUCUAACACAUCAGCUGAGGACUUUGGGGACUUCCCUGAGGCAGAGAGUUGCCACCAUGUGGCCUACAU